GCUGGCGGCGUGCCUAAUACAUGCAAGUCGAGCGGACAGAUGGGAGCUUGCUCCCUGAUGUUAGCGGCGGACGGGUGAGUAACACGUGGGUAACCUGCCUGUAAGACUGGGAUAACUCCGGGAAACCGGGGCUAAUACCGGAUGGUUGUUUGAACCGCAUGGUUCAGACAUAAAAGGUGGCUUCGGCUACCACUUACAGAUGGACCCGCGGCGCAUUAGCUAGUUGGUGAGGUAACGGCUCACCAAGGCGACGAUGCGUAGCCGACCUGAGAGGGUGAUCGGCCACACUGGGACUGAGACACGGCCCAGACUCCUACGGGAGGCAGCAGUAGGGAAUCUUCCGCAAUGGACGAAAGUCUGACGGAGCAACGCCGCGUGAGUGAUGAAGGUUUUCGGAUCGUAAAGCUCUGUUGUUAGGGAAGAACAAGUGCCGUUCAAAUAGGGCGGCACCUUGACGGUACCUAACCAGAAAGCCACGGCUAACUACGUGCCAGCAGCCGCGGUAAUACGUAGGUGGCAAGCGUUGUCCGGAAUUAUUGGGCGUAAAGGGCUCGCAGGCGGUUUCUUAAGUCUGAUGUGAAAGCCCCCGGCUCAACCGGGGAGGGUCAUUGGAAACUGGGGAACUUGAGUGCAGAAGAGGAGAGUGGAAUUCCACGUGUAGCGGUGAAAUGCGUAGAGAUGUGGAGGAACACCAGUGGCGAAGGCGACUCUCUGGUCUGUAACUGACGCUGAGGAGCGAAAGCGUGGGGAGCGAACAGGAUUAGAUACCCUGGUAGUCCACGCCGUAAACGAUGAGUGCUAAGUGUUAGGGGGUUUCCGCCCCUUAGUGCUGCAGCUAACGCAUUAAGCACUCCGCCUGGGGAGUACGGUCGCAAGACUGAAACUCAAAGGAAUUGACGGGGGGCCCGCACAAGCGGUGGAGCAUGUGGUUUAAUUCGAAGCAACGCGAAGAACCUUACCAGGUCUUGACAUCCUCUGACAAUCCUAGAGAUAGGACGUCCCCUUCGGGGGCAGAGUGACAGGUGGUGCAUGGGUUGUCGUCAGCUCGUGUCGUGAGAUGUGGGGUUAAGUCCCGCAACGAGCGCAACCCUUGAUCUUAGUUGCCAGCAUUCAGUUGGGCACUCUAAGGUAACUGCCGGUGACAAACCGGAGGAAGGUGGAAUUGACGUUAAAUUUCAU
RNAcentral lists this ribosomal RNA (1179 nucleotides) under Bacillus subtilis. Its description in RNAcentral is "bacterial SSU rRNA". It matches the Rfam family "Bacterial small subunit ribosomal RNA", at positions 35 to 1196 of the family's 1533-position model. The record is from RNAcentral. Lineage: Bacteria; Bacillati; Bacillota; Bacilli; Caryophanales; Bacillaceae.